GGCCUAACACAUGCAAGUCGAACGGCAGCACAGCAGUAGCAAUACUGUGGGUGGCGAGUGGCGGACGGGUGAGGAAUACAUCGGGAUCUACCCGGUUGUGGGGGAUAACGUAGGGAAACUUACGCUAAUACCGCAUACGACCGAGAGGUGAAAGCGGCGGACCGCAAGGCGUCGCGCGAUCGGAUGAACCGAUGUCGGAUUAGCUAGUUGGUGGGGUAAAGGCUCACCAAGGCGACGAUCCGUAGCUGGUCUGAGAGGAUGAUCAGCCACACUGGAACUGAGACACGGUCCAGACUCCUACGGGAGGCAGCAGUGGGGGAUAUUGGACAAUGGGCGCAAGCCUGAUCCAGCCAUGCCGCGUGUGUGAAGAAGGCCUUCGGGUUGUAAAGCUC
Molecule: ribosomal RNA, 392 nt
Filed under: uncultured organism
Description: bacterial SSU rRNA
Rfam family: Bacterial small subunit ribosomal RNA
Source: RNAcentral